This 74-nucleotide transfer RNA is filed under the name Bacteroidetes bacterium ADurb.Bin035. Its description in RNAcentral is "tRNA-Glu". It matches the Rfam family "tRNA". From Rfam's summary of the family: Transfer RNA (tRNA) molecules are approximately 80 nucleotides in length. Their secondary structure includes four short double-helical elements and three loops (D, anti-codon, and T loops). Further hydrogen bonds mediate the characteristic L-shaped molecular structure. tRNAs have two regions of fundamental functional importance: the anti-codon, which is responsible for specific mRNA codon recognition, and the 3' end, to which the tRNAs corresponding amino acid is attached (by aminoacyl-tRNA synthetases). tRNAs cope with the degeneracy of the genetic code in two manners: having more than one tRNA (with a specific anti-codon) for a particular amino acid; and 'wobble' base-pairing, i.e. permitting non-standard base-pairing at the 3rd anti-codon position. Lineage: Bacteria; Pseudomonadati; Bacteroidota. The record is from RNAcentral.
UGGGCGGUUCGUCUAAGGGUUAGGAUCUCAGACCCUCAUUCUGAAGAUAGGGGUUCGAAUCCCCUACCGCCUAU